RNAcentral lists this ribosomal RNA (631 nucleotides) under Ferrissia rivularis. RNAcentral describes it as "eukaryotic LSU rRNA". The stretch from base 543 to 631 matches the Rfam family "Eukaryotic large subunit ribosomal RNA", at positions 1 to 89 of the family's 3401-position model. The record is from RNAcentral. RNAcentral also lists the same sequence under 1 other name. Lineage: Eukaryota; Metazoa; Mollusca; Gastropoda; Ancylidae.
CUAGCUGCGUGAAUUAAUGUGAAUUGCAGAACACAUUGAACAUCGACACCUUGAACGCACAUGGCGGCCUCGGGUUUACCCCGGGGCCACGCCCGUCUGAGGGUCGGUUUGCUAAAGCGAUCGCUACCUUGUCCGUUAAUUUUCUUUUUUGAAUCGGUCGCUUGCUUAUUUCUCGGGCUCUCGCGAGAGGUUUGUAGGUGACUGGUGCGAAGAAGAAGAUUAGGUGGCGCUUUGGGCCUUCGUGGAUAGCGUAUACGGUACGCGUGCCCCCUUUGCUCUCGGGGUGCGUUAUCGUGGCGCAUGUUCUCGUGGCUUUAAGUACAGGAUGCGCCGUCGUCCUAUCUGUCCUACGAGAUGCUGCUCGCCUCGUCGGUGGUCUCUCGCUGCGCGACAGGUACCCGGCUCGUGCUUUCAAAGCGAGCUGUACGGACCUGGGCCGCGCGUGAAAUGUUCGGGAGAUGGGCCGCAUAGCAGCGAUUCGUACGGGCUAACGGCGCCCGCCCAUACACUUUCAUUAGUGUGGCGUGUUUUAUUUUUUUAUCCGACCUCAGAUCGGACGAGAUUACCCGCUGAAUUUAAGCAUAUUACUAAGCGGAGGAAAAGAAACUAACAAGGAUUUCCCUAGUAACGG